RNAcentral lists this small RNA (86 nucleotides) under Tenacibaculum piscium. Its description in RNAcentral is "Flavo-1 RNA". It matches the Rfam family "Flavo-1 RNA". Lineage: Bacteria; Pseudomonadati; Bacteroidota; Flavobacteriia; Flavobacteriales; Flavobacteriaceae. The record is from Rfam by way of RNAcentral.
AUUUAGCCCCGAUUGAAGCAAUUGUUUGAGCUCUUUUUUUUGAUUUUUCUUCAAAAAAAAAGCGAGUGCGGAAAGCGGGAAAUAGC